Homo sapiens (human) is the source of this 305-nucleotide unclassified non-coding RNA. The record is from Ensembl. NCBI's taxonomy places the organism in Eukaryota, Metazoa, Chordata, Mammalia, Primates, Hominidae.
AGAUGUGAGGGUGAUCUGGCCGUGACAUCUGUCACCCCAUUGAUUGUCAGGGUUGACUCAGCUGAUCUGGCUGGCUAUGCGGGUGUCCCCUUCCUCUCUCACUGCUCCAUGUAUGUCCCUCCCAAAGCUGCACGCUUGGUUGAAGAGGACGACCAUCCUCGAUAGAUCCGAGGACUGGUCUUCGGUCAAGUGUAUACAAGUAGCUGUGCUCCCCUGCUAGAACCUCCAAACAAGCUCUCAAUAUCAUUGGGGACCAAUGUAAACUUUAACCUCAGACUGACAGCAAAUAGCUGGAGAGAUUCCGG